AUCACAAAUUCCAUAGAAAGCCAUUCACAAGAUCAUCAAAACACAAUAUCAAGUUCACUAAUGAUAAGUAUGUGCAAUGUCAUGGAAUACAAUGUCAAGUAUAAUGAUUCAUGUCUGACCUAGUGAUACACACCCGAUGUAUCUUAGUCCGGUACCCAUGGGGGACAUAUCUGUUGAUGCAUCUGUCACGGCGCACAACACAACCCUCAAUAAUAGUAAUCAUCGCGGCUUGCGAUAUGUCCCUCAGUAUAUUGUAUCCAUUGCAACACGUAAUACGUCCCUCGAAAGGACACAUCUUCUUUAAGUUCUCAUUCUUUCUCGAUCCACAUAACACUUGUCACAACCAUGUCUCAGAAUAAUGAAAAUGACAUGUUCCUUUGCCUCUUGAUUUAUCAUGCUAUCUUAGAUAUCUGAUUGUAUUUUUGAUUUUUCCAUAUGUUUUUCUUA
Molecule: unclassified non-coding RNA, 447 nt
Filed under: Hevea brasiliensis (rubber tree)
Lineage: Eukaryota; Viridiplantae; Streptophyta; Magnoliopsida; Malpighiales; Euphorbiaceae
Source: RNAcentral